GACGAACGCUGGCGGCGUGCUUAACACAUGCAAGUCGAACGGACAGGCCCUGCUUUUGUUGCGUGCUCGUGUGGCGAACGGGUGAGUAACACGUGAGUAACCUGCCCUUGUCUUUGUGAUAACUUCAGGAAACUGGGGCUCAUACCGGAUAGGAGCUCCUGCUGCAUGUUGGUGGUUGGAAAGUUUCGGCGGUUGUGGAUGGACUCGCGGGUUAUCAGCUUGUUGGUGUGGUAGUGGCUUACCAAGGCUUUGACGGAUAGCCGGCCUGAGAGGGGGGACGGCCACAAGGGUACUAAGGGAGGGAGCAGACGGCAACGUGAGGCAGAGGGGGGGAGUAUUACACAGUGAGCGGGAGCCUGAGGCGGAAACGCCGCGUUCGUGAAGACGUCCUUCGGGGUGUGAACCGCUGUCGCCUGUGACGAAGCGGGAGUGACGGUAAUGGGUAAAGAAGCACCGGCUAACUACGUG
This 468-nucleotide ribosomal RNA is filed under the name uncultured bacterium. Its description in RNAcentral is "partial 16S ribosomal RNA". It matches the Rfam family "Bacterial small subunit ribosomal RNA", at positions 28 to 507 of the family's 1533-position model. The record is from RNAcentral.